GAUGAACGCUAGCUACAGGCUUAACACAUGCAAGUCGAGGGGAAACGGCAUUUAGUGCUUGCACUGAAUGGACGUCGACCGGCGCACGGGUGAGUAACGCGUAUCCAACCUACCCAUUACUGUGGGAUAACCUGCCGAAAGGCAGACUAAUACCGCAUAGUCUUCGAUGACGGCAUCAGAUUUGAAGUAAAGAUUUAUCGGUAAUGGAUGGGGAUGCGUCUGAUUAGCUUGUUGGCGGGGUAACGGCCCACCAAGGCGACGAUCAGUAGGGGUUCUGAGAGGAAGGUCCCCCACAUUGGAACUGAGACACGGUCCAAACUCCUACGGGAGGCAGCAGUGAGGAAUAUUGGUCAAUGGGCGCGAGCCUGAACCAGCCAAGUAGCGUGCAGGAUGACGGCCCUAUGGGUUGUAAACUGCUUUUGUAUGGGGAUAAAGUCAAUCACGUGUGAUUGUUUGCAGGUACCAUACGAAUAAGGACCGGCUAAUUCCGUGCCAGCAGCCGCGGUAAUACGGAAGGUCCGGGCGUUAUCCGGAUUUAUUGGGUUUAAAGGGAGCGUAGGCUGGAGAUUAAGUGUGUUGUGAAAUGUAGACGCUCAACGUCUGAAUUGCAGCGCAUACUGGUUUCCUUGAGUACGCACAACGUUGGCGGAAUUCGUCGUGUAGCGGUGAAAUGCUUAGAUAUGACGAAGAACUCCGAUUGCGAAGGCAGCUGACGGGAGCGCAACUGACGCUUAAGCUCGAAGGUGCGGGUAUCGAACAGG
This 761-nucleotide ribosomal RNA is filed under the name Prevotella melaninogenica. RNAcentral describes it as "bacterial SSU rRNA". It matches the Rfam family "Bacterial small subunit ribosomal RNA", at positions 28 to 776 of the family's 1533-position model. The record is from RNAcentral. Lineage: Bacteria; Pseudomonadati; Bacteroidota; Bacteroidia; Bacteroidales; Prevotellaceae.